Molecule: unclassified non-coding RNA, 243 nt
Filed under: Hevea brasiliensis (rubber tree)
Lineage: Eukaryota; Viridiplantae; Streptophyta; Magnoliopsida; Malpighiales; Euphorbiaceae
Source: RNAcentral
AGGAUAUCCCACAAUCAAGUGCAAUGUAUUUAGAUGCUUUGGAUCUCGUAAGGGAUCCAGAAGAACGAGAGUGUUUCAUCUGUUUAAACCCAGAGCCGCGUAGGAGAUGGCUGCAAAGGAUGUUGCACCGUCGCUUCCCCUUGCGCUAUAGCACUGAUGUUUGAGCAACUGUAAGUAAUCAACACAAUCUGCUCGUGGAGGAUCACAACAUUUACUCAAGAACAAGGGAGAUAUCGUUUAACA